ACUUUUGAGGUCCAGCCAAAUAUGGGAAAAGCCCCAGAGCGUCGUAACAUUAAGUCUAGGCUCUACACUUUAUAGUCAGUAUCAUGGGUUUACGGAGCAUGUAACUUCACCAUUAAAAUGAAAAUUUGGACUUUGAGUGAUAUCUGGACAUCAACCCCCCUGCUGAUAUGAGGCCCACAUGAAGUUGGACCUCGCUGAAGAGGCCCACAUGAAGUUGGACCUCUUGGAGUCCUGGAGUGAUUUCAUUUCCAGUAUUCUUCCGAAGGUUCCAGUGACGUCAACUGAUUUCAAAAUCCAUAAACUUUUACAAUGAUUAAUCCAUUUAAUGAAACAUGCUACAUGGGCCUAGUAAAUCAUGUUCUGAAUCUGUCUGGAUUAAUAGGAACCAUAUGGCAGCAUUAGCCAAGCAAACACAAUAUCCUGCUGUUAAACCAGCUUAUGAUCUUAAUUAUCAUGCAAGAAGUAGGAUUUCUUUUCUUUUUAUGUUGUGAUGAUAAUUUACCGGGGAUUUUUUGCCAUGUUACAGUAAUACACCAGAAUUGAGAUAAUACCCAGUGAUGGCAUUUCACAGUGUGGUCUCAACUGUAAUUGAAUUUUGAUGCACCAAGACCACCAAGGACGACAAGGACAAAUCUGGCAGUGCACAUCAGCCUCUGUCUGUCUGGCAUGGUGGUGCUGUGGAUGAUUGUCAUUCAGACACGGUUUAGCCAUUACAAAGUCCACCGUCCCUCUGAGUACGCACAAGGGUGAGACAUCAUUGUGUCAACGCUCCCUUCCGCUCAUCGUCUAAUACACACACACACGCGCACACACACACACCACACACACACACACACACACACACACACACACCCAGAUGCCUUUCCCUGUUGGUCAUUUGCUGGCACCUGCUGCAGACGAGGCGUCCCAACGACACGGCACAUGGGCUAUGCAUGGGCAAUUCACUUGGUGCCGGGAUGGGCCCGUGUUGACAUCUUUUGGCCAACUAUCCGGCCCUCUAUCCCUCCCUCCUACUCAGGACUGGUAUGAUGGAUCAGGCGAGCUACUAUCGCCCCUUUCCAGCCCCCGCUCCUCCCAUCUUCCCAUCUGUGGCCUUGGCUUAGAGUUGCUUUGAUGGCGAAGGAAUGAGCGGAGCACAUGCUCUCCUGAAUGCUCUGCGUACACUCCUGAGUAGACAUGCCCUGUUUGUGCUCUUGCUAAGGGGGUCCCCUGGUCAGAAAUGGAAUGCUGUGACCCUGGGCAUGUUGCUCUACCAACUGGGUGGGUGGCCAACACCGGCGAGCCGAACGGUGGAAUCCCGUCUCAUCUCAUCUUGGGUCACAUAUUUGGGAUCCCCGAGCUGCAUAACUUGACUGUGGAAUUGGAAGCUCACUGGAGCCGCCCCUGGGCAUAUUGUUUCUUUGCGUCCCUCAGCAUUUGUUCAGCAGACCAUGCGGUUUGUUAGCAGUCAAGCUGGGAAUAUGUUAUGAAACCACAGAUGAGAAAGUAGAGCUGUGGCCACCCAAACUGGUGGGAUGGGAACAUGACAGCACUGCACAAUGUGCCUCAUGGAAACUUAUGAAUGACAUAUGUUAUCAUAUGAGUUGAGUUUGGUACUGAGCUCUGCAGAUGUAUUUUCUAACAAUGCUGCCAUCAACUGGGGGGGGGACAAACUGCAUCCAAACUGUCUAUCUGUUUUGUAUUUAUGACACAUGAAUCAAUUCAAAUUGUGUUCAAUUAGUUGUGGGAGGCAUACUAUGAGUUGAAAUGUUUUAUCUGUUUAAUAAUUUGAUCUGUGACACAAGUCAAGCACUAUAGCUGCAUGCUGGUGAUGCUUUGAAAUACAGUGAUGCAACUGUAACAGCCUUGAAAGUGCAAUAUGUAGUUGUUGGUGUCAAAGCACUUAAAAAAGCUCAUGAUUCAGAUACACAGUUCUUUCAGUAGUCACAUGCCAUCUGAUUCUCAGUUUUUGACAUUUUAUUGGUUUCAAAUUGCAUGACCCAGCAGAGCACAUGAAAGAGCUGUGGUAUAGUGCAAUACACCUCCUGCCCAGUUAGUGGCACUGUGCCACCUAUGUUAUUCAAUAGAAUACGUAUACGAAGGAGAGAGAAGCAUGCGUGAAGACGUUGAGUAAAGAAAGUUAUAGAUCA
Molecule: long non-coding RNA, 2129 nt
Organism: Alosa sapidissima (American shad)
Lineage: Eukaryota; Metazoa; Chordata; Actinopteri; Clupeiformes; Clupeidae
Exons: 2
Source: RefSeq, a predicted model, not a curated record